GUUUCUCUCCCUCUCUCUCCCCUUAAAUUCCCUUGCUUGCCUACCUUCUGCCUUGGGAUAACACAGUAAGAAGACCCUCAUCAGAUGCUGGACUCUCAAUCUUGGGCUUUCAGCCUUCACAACUUGGAUUGUAUUAUUUGAAUUGUUACUUUUGAAAAAGAAAGGAAAACAAGCCUGCUCAUUUCUCUGACUCCCUGCCUAUCACAUAUCUCAUUGGUUUCCUUGGGAACCAGGAGCUUCCCACCCUCAGAGGACACAGUCUGAGUUGGAUUUUUGUCAACUGAAGCUGAAAGAAUCCUCACCACCACAUUCCAGUGGGCAUCUAAUUGUUAGAGAGGUUUGUGGCCACCCAAAAUUCAUGUCUACCUCAAGUUCCCAAGGAUGAAUGUAACUGUAUUGUAUACCUAAAAUGUACCGA
Heterocephalus glaber (naked mole-rat) is the source of this 418-nucleotide long non-coding RNA. NCBI's taxonomy places the organism in Eukaryota, Metazoa, Chordata, Mammalia, Rodentia, Bathyergidae. The record is from Ensembl.